RNAcentral lists this transfer RNA (73 nucleotides) under Dipodomys ordii (Ord's kangaroo rat). It matches the Rfam family "tRNA". Rfam says of the family: Transfer RNA (tRNA) molecules are approximately 80 nucleotides in length. Their secondary structure includes four short double-helical elements and three loops (D, anti-codon, and T loops). The record is from Rfam by way of RNAcentral. Lineage: Eukaryota; Metazoa; Chordata; Mammalia; Rodentia; Heteromyidae.
GGGAAUGUGGCUUAGUGGUAGAGUGCUUGCCUAGCAUGCAUGAAGCCCUGGGUUCAAUUCCUCAGUGUACACA